This 900-nucleotide long non-coding RNA is filed under the name Callithrix jacchus (white-tufted-ear marmoset). Its description in RNAcentral is "lncRNA (ENSCJAG00000082138.1)". Lineage: Eukaryota; Metazoa; Chordata; Mammalia; Primates; Cebidae. The record is from RNAcentral.
AUGACUCUGAUUCUUCUGCUGAGUUGGACACACUCUCUGUCAGGUCUUCUUCCAUCUGCUGGACGCUUCCCAACUGUGCAUCCACAUGUAUUUGAUGAUCAUCUUAAAUUUAGCCAAAAAGACUCAGAACGUCAGCCUGCUCCGGGGCCAGCAUAUCGCCCUCCUUGCACACCUCAUAGUCAGACAGCAGGAAAUGAUCAGCCGGGUGCGGUGGCUCACGCCUGUAAUCCCAGCACUUUGGGAGGCCGAGGCGGGUGGAUCACGAGGUCAAGAGAUCGAGACAUCCUGGUCAACGUGGUGAAACCCUGUCUCUACUAAAAAUACAAAAAAUUAGCUGGGCAUGGUGGCACGUGCCUGUAAUCCCAGCUACUCAGGAGGCUGAGGCAGGAGAAUUGCCUGAACCCAGGAGGCGGAGGUUGCGGUGAGCCGAGAUCCCGCCAUUGCACUCCAGCCUGGGUAACAAGAGCAAAACUCCGUCUCAAAAAAAAAAAAGAAAAAAGAAAAAAGAAAUGAUUUCCUGGCUCUGACAUCUGAAAAAUAGUAAAACCCGUGUUAACCCCCAAGCAAGGAGCCUCUACAUGAAAAGGAAACAGAGCUGCCUCCAUAUAUGCUGCCUCCAGACCUGAGCAAGCCUGCCCAGAGACUGGGACAUCCUGGCAUCCCAGAAAGCAAGGGAAACAGCAGCAAUGACUGUGCAUCUCAGGGAGGGCAGACACCUGCUCGAAGGGGUUCCUCAGGCCAAAAUGUGACCAUUGGACACUAAAAAGAAUAACCGCUUUAAAAAGGAUAUCCACAAAGAAUUGAAACAUAUUUACUAUGUCUGUAUUUGUGACCAUAAUAAUCCUAAAACAAAUGAGCAAAACCACAAUUCAUCAUUUAUCUUUGGAUAAUGCUAAGAAA